Long non-coding RNA from Orussus abietinus, 889 nucleotides. RefSeq lists it as uncharacterized. The transcript has 2 exons. The record is from RefSeq and is a predicted model, not a curated record. NCBI's taxonomy places the organism in Eukaryota, Metazoa, Arthropoda, Insecta, Hymenoptera, Orussidae.
AAUUAAAAAGUGUUCGUUUCAUUCAGCUUCGUCCGGCUUCGUUUCUCGAUCUUGUAUUUUCAUCGUUAUUCGUUGGUUGUGUUUUAAGAACUCGAUAUCGACGCUAUCCUAACUUUGAUGAGCGAAUGGAUUGGGGAAGUAUUUGCUGAGUAAGUAAAUAAUUCAUUUGACAGAGACUUAGUACUGGAAAAGGAGUUCUUGCAAGGUUAGCACUAAUUAUUUCAUCGAUAUGCAGUCUAUGCAAUCUCUGGGACGUCACGUGGCAGGUUGCAAUGUCAUCUUUUUUCCCUUUUCUUUCGGACGGUACGUAGGGGAAAGAAGAGUAAUUUAUUUUUCUAGCUUUCAUUGGCUAUUCGCAGCUUUUGCAGCUCAUUGUGACCUGGAACUUGUCCGUUAAGUCGCAGAUGAUUCCUGGCAUCUAUCUGGAGAAAAAGCGAAUAACUGACGUUUAUGUUAAUCAUCCCAGACCAUAAUGAUAUCCUACGAAAUUCAAGCCUCGAUGAUUUGCCCUUUAGUGUCUUAUGUUAUAGUUUCCUCUAAGCAAAUUGCAAGUGUUCCGAAUGCUUUAAUAAGAUAACGAUUUACAAAAAUCUGCAUUCUCAUCGAGUAAUUAAUUACAUAACACCAAGUGCAUCAUCGUAUUUACAUUACUCGUUACAAAACACGGCCAGUUAAUCAUAUUUAUGCAAAUGUUAUUAAUAUGCUAUUAAUAUUCAUUUUUUUUCACAGCAAGAUCGAUAUCGAUUACUGUCCCUCUACUAACACAAAGUGCCAGCAUCAGACUUUGAUAAACAGAAAAUAAGAGAACGACUGAGUUUUGUGUAACCUUUACUAUUCUCUUUCAAAUACAAAAUCGAUGUACAGUGAAAAUUUUAAAUAGAAGUACACA